RNAcentral lists this ribosomal RNA (462 nucleotides) under uncultured bacterium. RNAcentral describes it as "partial 16S ribosomal RNA". It matches the Rfam family "Bacterial small subunit ribosomal RNA", at positions 28 to 507 of the family's 1533-position model. The record is from RNAcentral.
GAUGAACGCUGACAGAAUGCUUAACACAUGCAAGUCAUUGGCGAAGCUGCGCUUGCGCAGUCUAGCCAAGGCGGACGGGUGAGUAACGCGUAAGGAACUUGCCCUGCAGACAGGGAUAACAGACGGAAACGACUGAUAACACCUGGUAUUGUCAGGCUGGCGCAUGCCGGCCUGAUGAAAGGAGACGCUGCAGGAGAGCCUUGCGUCCUAGUAGCUAGUUGGUGGGGUAACGGCCCACCAAGGCGAUGAUAGGUAGCCGGCCUGAGAGGGUGAACGGCCACAAGGGGAAGGAGAGACGGCCCUUACUCCUACGGGAGGCAGCAGUGAGGAAUAUUGGACAAUGGGGGCAACAGUGAUCCAGCAAUUCUGUGUGCAAGAAGAAGGUUUUCGGAUUGUAAAGUGCUUUCAGCAGGGAAGCAGAAAGUGACGGUACCUGCAGAAGAAGCGACGGCUAAAUACGUG